AGCAAGUUUAUCGAGUCGGGACUGGAAAUAAUCAAAAAUAAGAAGCCUGCGUGUACCUGCCAUUUUUCCACCUGAGGUAAAAUCUGAGGUGUGGACUGAAACCACUGCAGCACGAGACAGGGGUGGAAAAAGAGCCCUUAACGCAGUCUGGCACAAAACAUCAGACUGUCAGCAGUUUAAGGGUUCAAAAUAUUUUUUGUUCAGUUGAGUUUAAAGUACCCUUUCUAAUCUGAAAUCUAUCAAACAAUUUUUAAUGAAUUUAACAUUUAAGACUUUACAUCUAAGAUUUUUAAGGUUGAGUUAAAUAUUCUGUGUUAAGGAUCAGAAAAUGAUAAUAAAUUUGAUAUUGAACAUCCAUGUGUUUUUCAUUUUCAGAAUUCACCUAUUAUGUUUAUGAUGUACAGGCAAAUAUAAAGUA
Molecule: long non-coding RNA, 418 nt
Organism: Triplophysa rosa
Lineage: Eukaryota; Metazoa; Chordata; Actinopteri; Cypriniformes; Nemacheilidae
Exons: 3
Source: RefSeq, a predicted model, not a curated record